Long non-coding RNA from Poecilia latipinna (sailfin molly), 199 nucleotides. RefSeq lists it as uncharacterized. The transcript is spliced from 2 exons. NCBI's taxonomy places the organism in Eukaryota, Metazoa, Chordata, Actinopteri, Cyprinodontiformes, Poeciliidae. The record is from RefSeq and is a predicted model, not a curated record.
UUAAACGGAGUUCCCCUUUAAAUAAGGAAGAACAGUUUAACGGCCCGUUGCCAUGACCACAGCAAUGCUAACAUGUCCGGAGAAGAGAAACAAGAAGCAGAGUUCCUGCAGUGGGACGCGAUGCCAGUGCAAUUAAUACAGGAGCUGCAAGAACACAGCGCCGAGGAGCUUCUGCAGUAAGUAACCAGGUUAACCUGGA